Molecule: unclassified non-coding RNA, 1389 nt
Filed under: uncultured Neocallimastigales
Lineage: Eukaryota; Fungi; Neocallimastigomycota; Neocallimastigomycetes; Neocallimastigales
Description: partial contains small subunit ribosomal RNA, internal transcribed spacer 1, 5.8S ribosomal RNA, internal transcribed spacer 2, and large subunit ribosomal RNA
Rfam family: Eukaryotic large subunit ribosomal RNA (bases 663-1389)
Source: RNAcentral
UUUCCGUAGGUGAAACCUGCGGAAGGAUCAUUAAAAAAUAUCGCUCGAUUGAGAGUGAUUUAAUAAUCAUCCUACCCUUUGUGAAUUUGUUGUUUGUAAUAAUUUUUUUUGAUUUUAAAAAAAAAUUAUUUAUGGUUUGUCUAUCCCUAAAAUUGGUUUGUUUGUAAGACAAGUGAAUCAAAUUUAGGGAAUAGGCUUUCAUAAAUAAGUUUUUUUUUAAAGUCUUAAAGACCUUUUUUUAAAAUUAAACUUUGUAUUCAUUUGUCUAAAUUUUUUUAAAUAAUUUAAAAACAACUUUUGACAAUGGAUCUCUUGGUUCUCGCAACGAUGAAGAACGCAGCAAAAUGCGAUAAGUAAUGUGAAUUGCAGAAUACGUGAAUCAUCAAAUCUUCGAACGCACAUUGCACUUUUUUAGUUUACUAAAAAGUAUGUCUGUUUGAGUAUCAGUAAAAUAUUCUCAUAAAAACAUUUUUGUUUUUUAUGGUUAUGAGUGUUUUACAACGAUAAACAAGUUGUUUCACUUUAAAUUCAUUUUAAUUUAAGACCAUUUAUUGGUUUUAAUAAUAAAUUGGAUAAAAUUUUCCCGUAAAAAGGAAUAAACUUUUCAGUUAUUAUUAGACAAACUCGGUCCGAUUUAAAAGGAAAUUUAUAUUUAAAUAACUUGAUCUCAAAUCAGAUAAGAGUACCGCUGAACUUAAGCAUAUCAAUAAGCGGAGGAAAAGAAACUAACAAGGAUUCCCUUAGUAACGGCGAGUGAAGCGGGAAGAGCUCAAAUUUGAAAUCUUCAAGGUUCUACCUUGACGAAUUGUAGUUUAAAGAAGUGUUUUCUGUUAGAUGAGUAGCAAAAGUUCCUUGGAAUGGGACAUCAUAGAGGGUGAGAAUCCCGUAUUUGGUUAUUCAUUCUAGCUUUGUGAUACACUUUCAAAGAGUCGGAUUGUUUGGGAAUGCAGUCCAAAAUGGGUGGUAAAUUUCAUCUAAAGCUAAAUAUUGGCGAGAGACCGAUAGCGAACAAGUACCGAUGAGGGAAAGAUGAAAAGAACUUUGAAAAGAGAGUUAAACAGUACGUGAAAUUGUCAAAAGGGAAGCGUUUGACACCAGUGUUGUUUUCCGAAAAUCAAUUACGAAUGGCUUGAUUUUGUGUUGUAUGACCUUAAUCAGCUUUCUGCACUUUUUUCGAGUCUUUCUUAAGCACUUUUUGGUUAACAAGUCAACAUCAAUUUCUUUGUUGUAAAAGAGUAUUCGGAAGGUGGCUUUCUUUUCGGAGAAAGUGUUUAUAGCCCUAUACUUUCUACAAUCGGAGAGAUUGAGGUCUGCAGCGUAGAUCCUUCGGGUUAGAUACACUUGGCUAAGUUGUAGCUUUUCAUAGACAACUUGUUGACUAUGUUUAGU